AAAAGCAGAAAAGCAGAAAAGCAGAAAAAAAACAGAAAACUUUUAAGGAAAAAAAGCCAAAAUAAUUAAAUCCAAAAACGCAGCUUCGUUCUCAUCCCUCUCCCAAUAUCAUCAUCAAAAUUAGGGUUUUUUAAACAAAAAGGGAAAUAAAAAUCGAUUAAAAUCUUAGGGAAUGAGGCCUAAUUGCUGCCAUGUUUCGUUUGCUUUUGUUCUGAAGUUCUUGAAUUUUCUCCAAGCUUUCGUUGGAUUAUCGAUCAUACUCUAUUCGAUAUGGAUGUUGGAUCAAUGGAACCAUCACGUCCCAAUUUCUCCGCCGCCUUUAGCUCCGUCGCCGGAGUCAUCUCUUCCGGUUCUCUUCAAUUCGAGACCGGAGGUUGGAGCUCAAGCAGCUAGGGUUUUCGAUGAUUUCGCCGUCGGUUUGGUCUCCGGGUUGGAUAACGGGGUCCGGUUAGACUUGAGCUCUGUUAAGCUACCUGCUUCCUGGUUCAUCUACUCUUUUAUGGGAGUGGGCAUUGUGCUAUGUUGCAUUACUGUUAUUGGUUGCGUAGCAGCUGAAUCUAUUAAUGGCUGCUGCCUUUGUUUUUAUACACUUAUCAAAAUUGUUCUACUUUUAAUAGAAGCUGCUUUGGUGGCAUUUAUUGCAAUUGAUCGUCACUGGGAGAAGGAUCUUCCAGAUGACCCAACUGGAGAACUUGAUAGCCUUCGAUCCUUCAUCGAAGGAAACAUUGAUAUAUGUAAAUGGGUUGGCAUCAGUGUGGUCAUAAUUCAGGCAUUAUCUUUGCUAGUGGCAAUAAUUUUGCGGGCAAUGGUUUCUGCUAGAAGAAGAGACAUUGACAAUGAAGAUGAUUAUGACAAUAUUGGAGGUAGAACUUGGGAGCCACUCCUAAACCCUCAGUCUACUGCAGCCAAGGGUGAUGGCAGGGGAGCUCACUCUGACAUCUGGGGCUCACGAAUAAGAGAUAAGUUGUGACAGUUAUCAAUGAUUCCCAUCCCUUUUAUAUUGAUUCCUCCUUUUUGGAGUUUUUGUGGGGUGGGGAAGGGGGGCUGAUCCUGCCAGUUAUUUUGUUUAAUUAAUCUUUUAGAGUUUGGGUUUUACUAAAAUUCCUCUGGUUGAUGAGCAAGAUUUGUAACACAAAAUGGUGAUUCAGAAUCAGGGCACUCUUAAUUGUUAAGACUGUAAAGACAGAUAUUCAUGUACUAGAAUACUGAGCAUUUCUGUUGUUCCAACCCAUUUCUUGUCAACAAAACAAGAUUAAAAUAUUCUUUUCAUUCAUAUACGGACUGAACAGUGGGGAUAGAUACAACAGCACUGAUAAACAUAAUUUACCAAACCAAAACUCAUCUGCUAGCGUGAAGUCCAAGUAGAGCGAUGAUCAGAGAAAAUGGUCCAUCUCACAGGUGGCGACAUAGACUGUAUUUCCAACUGAUCAAGUACAUAUCUUUGCACUCUAGUCCUUUUAUUCUUUGCUUUUGUGGACGAAGUUUGAUGUAUAUAGGUCUUCAAACCCAUUUUCCUGUAUUGCUUUGUAAUUGCAUUUAGGCAACGAUUGUCCUAAUUGAAUGUUGUGGUGAUACUGACAUCCUUUAUAAAUGAGAAGUUUGUUGUUUGGUCUAAAA
Durio zibethinus is the source of this 1617-nucleotide non-coding RNA. The record is from RefSeq and is a predicted model, not a curated record. NCBI's taxonomy places the organism in Eukaryota, Viridiplantae, Streptophyta, Magnoliopsida, Malvales, Malvaceae.